GGCCGACUAGCUCAGCUGGUUAGAGCGUCGUGCUAAUAUAGGGUGAUUUUUGAAGAUGAUUGCUGAGUCGUUAUUAACGCGAAGGUCUUGGGUUUGAUCCCCACGUUGGCCA
This is a non-coding RNA of Rhodocollybia butyracea, 112 nucleotides long. NCBI's taxonomy places the organism in Eukaryota, Fungi, Basidiomycota, Agaricomycetes, Agaricales, Omphalotaceae. The record is from the annotation of a GenBank genome assembly.